ACCUGAGUGGCUCAGUGGUUGAGCAUCUGCCUUCGGCUCAGGUCAUGAUUCCAGGGUCCUGGGAUUGAUUCCUGCCUCAGGUU
RNAcentral lists this transfer RNA (83 nucleotides) under Canis lupus familiaris (dog). It matches the Rfam family "tRNA". From Rfam's summary of the family: Transfer RNA (tRNA) molecules are approximately 80 nucleotides in length. Their secondary structure includes four short double-helical elements and three loops (D, anti-codon, and T loops). Further hydrogen bonds mediate the characteristic L-shaped molecular structure. tRNAs have two regions of fundamental functional importance: the anti-codon, which is responsible for specific mRNA codon recognition, and the 3' end, to which the tRNAs corresponding amino acid is attached (by aminoacyl-tRNA synthetases). tRNAs cope with the degeneracy of the genetic code in two manners: having more than one tRNA (with a specific anti-codon) for a particular amino acid; and 'wobble' base-pairing, i.e. permitting non-standard base-pairing at the 3rd anti-codon position. Lineage: Eukaryota; Metazoa; Chordata; Mammalia; Carnivora; Canidae. The record is from Rfam by way of RNAcentral. RNAcentral also lists the same sequence under 2 other names.